This 2900-nucleotide ribosomal RNA is filed under the name Klebsiella pneumoniae. Its description in RNAcentral is "bacterial LSU rRNA". It matches the Rfam family "Bacterial large subunit ribosomal RNA". Lineage: Bacteria; Pseudomonadati; Pseudomonadota; Gammaproteobacteria; Enterobacterales; Enterobacteriaceae. The record is from RNAcentral.
UUAAGCGACUAAGCGUACACGGUGGAUGCCCUGGCAGUCAGAGGCGAUGAAGGACGUGCUAAUCUGCGAAAAGCGUCGGUAAGGUGAUAUGAACCGUUAUAACCGGCGAUGUCCGAAUGGGGAAACCCAGUGCAAUUCGUUGCACUAUCGUUAACUGAAUACAUAGGUUAACGAGGCGAACCGGGGGAACUGAAACAUCUAAGUACCCCGAGGAAAAGAAAUCAACCGAGAUUCCCCCAGUAGCGGCGAGCGAACGGGGAGCAGCCCAGAGUCUGAAUCAGCUUGUGUGUUAGUGGAACGGUCUGGAAAGUCCGACGGUACAGGGUGAUAGUCCCGUACACCAAAAUGCACAGGUUGUGAACUCGAAGAGUAGGGCGGGACACGUGGUAUCCUGUCUGAAUAUGGGGGGACCAUCCUCCAAGGCUAAAUACUCCUGACUGACCGAUAGUGAACCAGUACCGUGAGGGAAAGGCGAAAAGAACCCCGGCGAGGGGAGUGAAAAAGAACCUGAAACCGUGUACGUACAAGCAGUGGGAGCACCUUCGGGUGUGACUGCGUACCUUUUGUAUAAUGGGUCAGCGACUUAUAUUCUGUAGCAAGGUUAACCGUAUAGGGGAGCCGCAGGGAAACCGAGUCUUAACUGGGCGUUAAGUUGCAGGGUAUAGACCCGAAACCCGGUGAUCUAGCCAUGGGCAGGUUGAAGGUUGGGUAACACUAACUGGAGGACCGAACCGACUAAUGUUGAAAAAUUAGCGGAUGACUUGUGGCUGGGGGUGAAAGGCCAAUCAAACCGGGAGAUAGCUGGUUCUCCCCGAAAGCUAUUUAGGUAGCGCCUCGUGAAUUCAUCUUCGGGGGUAGAGCACUGUUUCGGCUAGGGGGUCAUCCCGACUUACCAACCCGAUGCAAACUACGAAUACCGAAGAAUGUUAUCACGGGAGACACACGGCGGGUGCUAACGUCCGUCGUGAAGAGGGAAACAACCCAGACCGCCAGCUAAGGUCCCAAAGUCAUGGUUAAGUGGGAAACGAUGUGGGAAGGCACAGACAGCCAGGAUGUUGGCUUAGAAGCAGCCAUCAUUUAAAGAAAGCGUAAUAGCUCACUGGUCGAGUCGGCCUGCGCGGAAGAUGUAACGGGGCUAAACCAUGCACCGAAGCUGCGGCAGCGACACUAUGUGUUGUUGGGUAGGGGAGCGUUCUGUAAGCCUGCGAAGGUGUGCUGUGAGGCAUGCUGGAGGUAUCAGAAGUGCGAAUGCUGACAUAAGUAACGAUAAAGCGGGUGAAAAGCCCGCUCGCCGGAAGACCAAGGGUUCCUGUCCAACGUUAAUCGGGGCAGGGUGAGUCGACCCCUAAGGCGAGGCCGAAAGGCGUAGUCGAUGGGAAACAGGUUAAUAUUCCUGUACUUGGUGUUACUGCGAAGGGGGGACGGAGAAGGCUAUGUUAGCCGGGCGACGGUUGUCCCGGUUUAAGCAUGUAGGCUGGUUAUCCAGGCAAAUCCGGAUAAUCAAGGCUGAGGUGUGAUGACGAGGCACUACGGUGCUGAAGUAACAAAUGCCCUGCUUCCAGGAAAAGCCUCUAAGCAUCAGGUAACAUCAAAUCGUACCCCAAACCGACACAGGUGGUCAGGUAGAGAAUACCAAGGCGCUUGAGAGAACUCGGGUGAAGGAACUAGGCAAAAUGGUGCCGUAACUUCGGGAGAAGGCACGCUGGUGUGUAGGUGAAGUCCCUGCGGAUGGAGCUGAGACCAGUCGAAGAUACCAGCUGGCUGCAACUGUUUAUUAAAAACACAGCACUGUGCAAACACGAAAGUGGACGUAUACGGUGUGACGCCUGCCCGGUGCCGGAAGGUUAAUUGAUGGGGUUAUCCGUAAGGAGAAGCUCUUGAUCGAAGCCCCGGUAAACGGCGGCCGUAACUAUAACGGUCCUAAGGUAGCGAAAUUCCUUGUCGGGUAAGUUCCGACCUGCACGAAUGGCGUAAUGAUGGCCAGGCUGUCUCCACCCGAGACUCAGUGAAAUUGAACUCGCUGUGAAGAUGCAGUGUACCCGCGGCAAGACGGAAAGACCCCGUGAACCUUUACUAUAGCUUGACACUGAACAUUGAGCCUUGAUGUGUAGGAUAGGUGGGAGGCUUUGAAGCGUGGACGCCAGUCUGCGUGGAGCCAACCUUGAAAUACCACCCUUUAAUGUUUGAUGUUCUAACGUUGGCCCCUGACCGGGGUUGCGGACAGUGUCUGGUGGGUAGUUUGACUGGGGCGGUCUCCUCCCAAAGCGUAACGGAGGAGCACGAAGGUUAGCUAAUCCUGGUCGGACAUCAGGAGGUUAGUGCAAUGGCAUAAGCUAGCUUGACUGCGAGCGUGACGGCGCGAGCAGGUGCGAAAGCAGGUCAUAGUGAUCCGGUGGUUCUGAAUGGAAGGGCCAUCGCUCAACGGAUAAAAGGUACUCCGGGGAUAACAGGCUGAUACCGCCCAAGAGUUCAUAUCGACGGCGGUGUUUGGCACCUCGAUGUCGGCUCAUCACAUCCUGGGGCUGAAGUAGGUCCCAAGGGUAUGGCUGUUCGCCAUUUAAAGUGGUACGCGAGCUGGGUUUAGAACGUCGUGAGACAGUUCGGUCCCUAUCUGCCGUGGGCGCUGGAGAAUUGAGGGGGGCUGCUCCUAGUACGAGAGGACCGGAGUGGACGCAUCACUGGUGUUCGGGUUGUCAUGCCAAUGGCACUGCCCGGUAGCUAAAUGCGGAAGAGAUAAGUGCUGAAAGCAUCUAAGCACGAAACUUGCCCCGAGAUGAGUUCUCCCUGAGACUUUAAGUCUCCUGAAGGAACGUUGAAGACGACGACGUUGAUAGGCCGGGUGUGUAAGCGCAGCGAUGCGUUGAGCUAACCGGUACUAAUGAACCGUGAGGCUUAACCUU